This 330-nucleotide ribosomal RNA is filed under the name uncultured eukaryote. RNAcentral's name for it is "partial 18S ribosomal RNA". It matches the Rfam family "Eukaryotic small subunit ribosomal RNA", at positions 1470 to 1796 of the family's 1831-position model. The record is from RNAcentral.
CCCUUAGACGUUCUGGGCCGCACGCGCGCUACACUGACCAGUGCAACAAGCAUCCGUCCUUGGCCGACAGGCUCGGGCAAUCUUUGAACGCUGGUCGUGAUGGGGAUAGACUUUUGCAAUUUUUGGUCUUCAACGAGGAAUUCCUAGUAAACGCAAGUCAUCAACUUGCAUUGAUUACGUCCCUGCCCUUUGUACACACCGCCCGUCGCACCUACCGAUUGAAUGGUCCGGUGAAAAUUUCGGAUACCGGCAUUGCUGGCGGUUCGCCGCCGGCGACGCUGGUAGAAGAUCUUUAAACCUUAUCAUUUAGAGGAAGGAGAAGUCGUAACA